CAGCAGCCGCGGGAACACGUAGGGUGCAAGCGUUAAUCGGAAUUACUGGGCGCAAAGCGUGCGCAGGCGGUUUGUUAAGACAGAUGUGAAAUCCCCGGGCUCGACCUGGGAACUGCAUUUGUGACUGGCAAGCUAGAGUGUGGCAGAGGGGGGUGGAAUUCCGCGUGUAGCAGUGAAAUGCGUAGAUAUGCGGAGGAACACCGAUGGCGAAGGCAGCCCCCUGGGCCAACACUGACGCUCAUGCACGAAAGCGUGGGGAGCAAACAGGAUUAGAUACCCCAGUAGUCCCUGUCUCUUAUAC
This 301-nucleotide ribosomal RNA is filed under the name uncultured bacterium. RNAcentral describes it as "partial 16S ribosomal RNA". It matches the Rfam family "Bacterial small subunit ribosomal RNA", at positions 509 to 807 of the family's 1533-position model. The record is from RNAcentral.